CUGACGAGUGGCGAACGGGUGAGUAACACGUAGGAAUCUACCCAGAAGUGGGGGACAACCCGGAGAAAUCCGGGCUAAUACCGCAUACGCCCUAAGGGGUAAAGCGGGGGACCUUUUCGAAGGCCUCGCGCUUUUGGAUGAGCCUGCGUCGGAUUAGCUUGUUGGUGAGGUAAUGGCUCACCAAGGCAACGAUCCGUAGCUGGUCUGAGAGGAUGACCAGCCACACUGGGACUGAGACACGGCCCAG
RNAcentral lists this ribosomal RNA (247 nucleotides) under uncultured bacterium. RNAcentral's name for it is "partial 16S ribosomal RNA". It matches the Rfam family "Bacterial small subunit ribosomal RNA", at positions 88 to 334 of the family's 1533-position model. The record is from RNAcentral.